Molecule: ribosomal RNA, 490 nt
Filed under: uncultured bacterium
Lineage: Bacteria
Description: bacterial SSU rRNA
Rfam family: Bacterial small subunit ribosomal RNA
Source: RNAcentral
GUUGGCGGCGUGGAUUAGGCAUGCAAGUCGAGGGAGAACCCGCAAGGGGGACACCGGCGAACGGGGUAGGAUCACGUAGGUGACGUACCCCCAGGGCGAGGAUAGCCACGGGAAACUGUGGGUAAUACUCGAUAAUCUUCCCGAUCAUGAUCGAAUGGGAAGCAAUGGGUGUGAUUCCACCUGGGGAGCGGCUUACGCAGUAUCAGCUAGUUGGUGAGGUAACGGCUCACCAAGGCUUUGACGCUUAGGGGGUGUGAGAGCAUGGCCCCCACCACUGGCACUGAGACACUGGCCAGACACCUACGGGUGGCUGCAGUCGAGAAUCUUCGGCAAUGGACGAAAGUCUGACCGAGCGACGCCGCGUGCGGGAUGAAGGUCUUCGGAUUGUAAACCGCUGUCAGAGGGGAUGAAGUAUACGAGAGCUAUCUCUUGUAUUUGACAGAGCCUCAGAGGAAGCACGGGCUAAGUUCGUGCCAGCAGCCGCGGUAAU